Molecule: ribosomal RNA, 199 nt
Filed under: uncultured bacterium
Lineage: Bacteria
Description: partial 16S ribosomal RNA
Rfam family: Bacterial small subunit ribosomal RNA
Source: RNAcentral
UACUCCUACGGGAGGCAGCAGUGGGGAAUUUUGGACAAUGGGGGCAACCCUGAUCCAGCCAUGCCGCGUGAGUGAAGAAGGCCUUCGGGUUGUAAAGCUCUUUCGGCCGGGAAGAAAUCGGCGACUCUAACAUAGUCGCUGGAUGACGGUACCGGACUAAGAAGCACCGGCUAACUACGUGCCAGCAGCCGCGGUAAUA